GGGCCAGUAGAUCAGUUGGGAGAUCGCAUCGCUUGCACCGAUGAGGCCUCGGGUUCAAGUCCCGACUGGUCCA
RNAcentral lists this transfer RNA (73 nucleotides) under Candidatus Heimdallarchaeota archaeon AB_125. RNAcentral describes it as "tRNA-Ala". It matches the Rfam family "tRNA". Rfam says of the family: Transfer RNA (tRNA) molecules are approximately 80 nucleotides in length. Their secondary structure includes four short double-helical elements and three loops (D, anti-codon, and T loops). Further hydrogen bonds mediate the characteristic L-shaped molecular structure. tRNAs have two regions of fundamental functional importance: the anti-codon, which is responsible for specific mRNA codon recognition, and the 3' end, to which the tRNAs corresponding amino acid is attached (by aminoacyl-tRNA synthetases). tRNAs cope with the degeneracy of the genetic code in two manners: having more than one tRNA (with a specific anti-codon) for a particular amino acid; and 'wobble' base-pairing, i.e. permitting non-standard base-pairing at the 3rd anti-codon position. Lineage: Archaea; Promethearchaeati; Candidatus Heimdallarchaeota. The record is from RNAcentral.